AAUUUUGGACAAUGGGGGAAACGCUGAGUCAGCCAUCCCGCGUGUAUGAUGAAGGCGUUCGGGUUGUAAAGUAUUUUUGUCAGGGAAGAAAAGCUAUCCCCUAAGACGGGAUACGGCUGACGGUAGCUGCAGAAGAAGCACCGGCUAACGACGUGCCAGCAGCCGCGGUAAUACGUAGGGUGCAAGCGUUAAUCGGAAUUACUGGGCGUAAAGCGUGUGUAGGCGGUUCGGAAAGAAAGAUGUGAAAUCCCAGGGCUCAACCUUGGAACUGCAUUUUUAACUGCCGAGCUAGAGUAUGUCAGAGGGGGGUAGAAUUCCACGUGUAGCAGUGAAAUGCGUAGAUAUGUGGAGGAAUACCGAUGGCGAAGGCAGCCCCCUGGGAUAAUACUGACGCUCAGACACGAAAGCGUGGGGAGCAAACAGG
RNAcentral lists this ribosomal RNA (424 nucleotides) under uncultured bacterium. RNAcentral describes it as "partial 16S ribosomal RNA". It matches the Rfam family "Bacterial small subunit ribosomal RNA", at positions 360 to 776 of the family's 1533-position model. The record is from RNAcentral.